This is a long non-coding RNA of Gallus gallus (chicken), 343 nucleotides long. The record is from Ensembl. Lineage: Eukaryota; Metazoa; Chordata; Aves; Galliformes; Phasianidae.
CUAGGCUUCUGCAUGACUUUGUGUUUCUCUGCCACUUAGGUUGAGUGCAAGGGCAAUGAAGAAGGGUAUGAGAAGUUAUGGAUGCCCCACGCAUGAAAUUAAGUGUUCAAGGCCAGACUGAAUGGGGCUCCGAGCAACUUGAUCUAGUGGAAAUUAUCCCUGCCCGCGUUAGGCUGGAUUGGAACAGGCAGAGAGAAAGAGAUGGAAGAUUUCGGGCCUUCAGGUGUUUCUCUGCGGAUUCCUGGGAAGACCUGCAGCUGCCACAUACUGCAGGCACUGCCUCUGUGCCACGUAGCAUCUUGAGAAGUAAGCUUGGGCUCAACUAGAAGUGGCUUGCAAGUAC